RNAcentral lists this ribosomal RNA (405 nucleotides) under Salmonella enterica subsp. enterica. RNAcentral's name for it is "partial 23S ribosomal RNA". It matches the Rfam family "Bacterial large subunit ribosomal RNA", at positions 1292 to 1697 of the family's 2925-position model. RNAcentral also lists the same sequence under 1 other name. Lineage: Bacteria; Pseudomonadati; Pseudomonadota; Gammaproteobacteria; Enterobacterales; Enterobacteriaceae. The record is from RNAcentral.
GAAUGCUGACAUAAGUAACGAUAAAGCGGGUGAAAAGCCCGCUCGCCGGAAGACCAAGGGUUCCUGUCCAACGUUAAUCGGGGCAGGGUGAGUCGACCCCUAAGGCGAGGCCGAAAGGCGUAGUCGAUGGGAAACGGGUUAAUAUUCCCGUACUUGGUGUUACUGCGAAGGGGGGACGGAGAAGGCUAUGUUGGCCGGGCGACGGUUGUCCCGGUUUAAGCGUGUAGGUGUGUGUUCCAGGUAAAUCCGGUUCACUUUAACACUGAGGCGUGACGACGAGGCACUACGGUGCUGAAGCAACAAAUGCCCUGCUUCCAGGAAAAGCCUCUAAGCAUCAGGUAACACGAAAUCGUACCCCAAACCGACACAGGUGGUCAGGUAGAGAAUACCAAGGCGCUUGAGAGA